GAUGAACGCUGGCGGCGUGCCUAAUACAUGCAAGUCGAGCGAACAGACGAGGAGCUUGCUCCUCUGACGUUAGCGGCGGACGGGUGAGUAACACGUGGAUAACCUACCUAUAAGACUGGGAUAACUUCGGGAAACCGGAGCUAAUACCGGAUAAUAUAUUGAACCGCAUGGUUCAAUAGUGAAAGACGGUUUUGCUGUCACUUAUAGAUGGAUCCGCGCCGCAUUAGCUAGUUGUUAAGGUAACGGCUUACCAAGGCAACGAUGCGUAGCCGACCUGAGAGGGUGGUAGGCCACACUAGAACUGAGACACGGUCAAGACUCCUAAGGGAGGCAGCAGUAGGGAAUCUGCCGCAAUGGGCGAAAGCAUGACGGAGCAACGCCGCGUGAGUGAUGAAGGUCUUCGGAUCGUAAAAAUCUGUUAUUAGGGAAGAACAAAUGUGGAAGUAAAUAUGCACGUCUUGACGGUACCUAAUCAGAAAGCCACGGCUAACUACGUG
Molecule: ribosomal RNA, 497 nt
Filed under: uncultured bacterium
Lineage: Bacteria
Description: partial 16S ribosomal RNA
Rfam family: Bacterial small subunit ribosomal RNA
Source: RNAcentral